This 1163-nucleotide long non-coding RNA is filed under the name Marmota monax (woodchuck). The record is from RNAcentral. Lineage: Eukaryota; Metazoa; Chordata; Mammalia; Rodentia; Sciuridae.
CAGGGAUUAACUCACCAAUUAGACUAACCUGCCUGAACAUUUCUACAGUUACUAGAUAUGGUAGAAAUAUUCAUUGCCUUCAGUUAACCACUGAAUUUAGAAACUCUUUUCAGUAGGAUCUGGAAACAUCUAUCAAAGCAGCCCAUUAAACAAGCCCAGAGGAUGGGUUGAUUUACUAGGAGUAAUUAUCAAAUAAUACAUCUAUAUUACCAACAUCUAACAAGCAAAUUUGUGAACACAGAUUCUUAUACAAAACUGGAUUGUUUUUUUGUCAUUGCAGAUCCCAUAAAGAAACCCAAACUGAUUUAAAAUAUAAAUGGGAAUGCAAAAUAGUUGUGCCUUCAGAUGAGCCUUCAAGUAUAGUAUGAUCAGAACUCUAGCCAAAUUUUUCUGCCAUUCCUUCAAACUUUCUCCUUCUUUUCAUUGUCUGACUGGUUUUCCUCAUGGUUCUAUAACAUGAAUCCACAUCUCUUAUUUCCCCACUCUGAACAGAAAAUCAUACUAUCUUAAGAUUUAUAGGAGUAUCCCUGAGUUUUUCCCUAAUUAUUAUAUACCAUCACCAAAACUUCAUAGAGCAAAUAUUACAAAUGCUAUUUUGCAAAGAGGUAAACUGAGAUGAGAAACUGAAUAACUUUUCCACAGUCAAAUACCUGGAGCUGGCACUAGUGCUAUAAUCUUGCACAAGUUGGAAUGUGUUGGAAAACGUAAUUAAAUUUGGAGGGUUACAAUUAAGAAAAUUUAAUGAAGGAAUUAUUCUAGAGUGUAGACAGAGUUUACUAUACAAACAAGGGAUGGUGAGGUAUCCAGAGAUUGGCUAUGAUGGGAAGCUGUUCCUAUCCAUAUGGCAGAAUGGACAUCAAAGGAGACCACCUGGAACCAAGUGAAGAUGGAAGAUCUCUAAGCCCAGACAGCCUUGAUUCUGCACAGCAUGCAACAUCUGCCACUUGUGUAAUACUAAGGCAGGGUACCUUAGUACUUUGUUUCACUUCAGAUCACCUGCUGGUGCUUCCACUAAUCAAAUCCAAUAAAGAGAUGAACAUCAAGAAAUCAGGGGGUUAGGGCUGGGGAUGUGGCUCAAGCGGUACCGCGCUUUCCUGGCAUGCGCGGGGCGCUAGGUUCUAUCCUCAGCACCACAUAAAAUAAAAUAAAGAUGUGUGUCCACC